RNAcentral lists this small nuclear RNA (120 nucleotides) under Salmo trutta (river trout). RNAcentral's name for it is "U2 spliceosomal RNA (ENSSTUG00000004813.1)". It matches the Rfam family "U2 spliceosomal RNA". From Rfam's summary of the family: U2 is a small nuclear RNA (snRNA) component of the spliceosome (involved in pre-mRNA splicing). Complementary binding between U2 snRNA (in an area lying towards the 5' end but 3' to hairpin I) and the branchpoint sequence (BPS) of the intron results the bulging out of an unpaired adenosine, on the BPS, which initiates a nucleophilic attack at the intronic 5' splice site, thus starting the first of two transesterification reactions that mediate splicing. The record is from Rfam by way of RNAcentral. Lineage: Eukaryota; Metazoa; Chordata; Actinopteri; Salmoniformes; Salmonidae.
AUCGCUUCUCGGCCUUUUGGCUAAGAUCAAGUGUAGUAUCUGUUCUUAUCAGUAGACACUUUUCACUGUUACAAAGUAACACAUUGGUAGGAUCCGAAAUCACGUGGUCAUCCAGCCUCC